UCAAGCCGUAAGAUGCGUGAUCCCUGUGCACAAGUGUCUGGCAGGCCGAGGUGCACCUGUUCCUGUCACUCUGGGGUAAAUUUAGCUGUAAAGGUAUCACUGACAACCAGACCUUUGUCAGUGUUGGCAAAAGAACACAGAAUUGCUUCGCUCCCCUCCCCCUUCCAAGCCCCAAUGCUGCUAGUUCAAAUGGAAAAUAUCAAAUUGGAAGUCUAUCCAAAAAUCAUUCCUAAAAAAUGAGAUUGCUUUCAUAUGGUAAAAAAGUAAGUUUCCUCAUUUCACGCAGACUUUAAAAUUACAUUUCCAAGAAUAAUCUUGGAACAAGACAAGUUUUUGUUCAAUUAAUUGUGGCUGGAAACUUUUUAAUGGAAACAUAGCACACACUUACUUCAUUUCAGAUUAUUAAAUUGUGUUAAGCCUUAAAGUUAGUUGCCAUUCUUUGCUGUAGCUCAUUUGUUCUUUUCAAUCCAGAGAAAUACUAGAACGUUAAAACUUAUCACAUAGGAGGGUUUAAUCAUCCUACCAAAAUUAGACAGCAUGUAGCUCUGAAAGACUGAAUGUCAAAUUGUGUGCUCGUAGCCCUUAAACUACUGAGAAUCUAGGACCCCACUACUACAUUUAAAAUGACUGUUCAUGUUUGUGGAAAACCGUGGACGUUUAGGAACUGGUAAAGCUAGAGGUCUCUUACUCUUUGAUUAAGGGCACCACUUUCAGAUAAAAACAUAGACCUGAAUGGCAUCAUCCAGUAUCCAAGGAAACCAUAUUAUCUUUCCUGCCUGGGUUAUAUCUGCAGAGCAGCCGACACUCAUUCUUAUAAAUGUGUUUAUGUUUGAGAUUGGAUGUAGUGGAGGAUGGAAGGAUAUAAAAUGAGAGAAGGGAACCACUGGAGAUUUUGAGAUGGUCUAUUUAUUGAGAGCAACUUGGAUCCUAAAUUUGUCACCAGCUCUGGAUUUCUCUCCCAAGCCAGGAUUGUGUGAAGUCAUUACAAUUUAAAGCAUACUGUCGGUCGGUCAUUCCCUGGACUCCAACUUCUGUUUCACCCCCAACAUACAGAGUAGAGAAGAAAUGAACGACUACAGGGAGAUUGCUUUCUCCUACUUAUCAAGACAGAGUGGUGUAGAUUCACUUCUUUUGGGGGCAUGUGUUCCAAGAAGAAGCAGAUUUCCAUUACAGACUUGAAACUGAGGUGUGUGAGGAGCACACAGAUAUCUUCCUUUGAACUUUGAAGGAGAUCAUUUGCUGUUAACAUAAAAAUAAGACUAUUCACAAAUCAUUAGCUCUGAAGAAAGAUGACAUCAACAUUGUGAGGUACUCCGCCUGUUGGACAAAUACAAAAAGAAUCAAUUGUGGCAUACCUCUUGACUAAAGAGCAUCAGUGAAUAACUGCCUGCAGGGCUUGUUAUAUUUCUGAGUUGUAUGUAUGGUUUACAGUUGCGGCCAUGUGGUAAUUGCACCAAGUUGACCAUAUUAAUAGUGAGUUUAUCUACACCAUCUGCUGUUAUAUUGACAUCUACGUUUUUCAACAUAGCACCCUAUUUUUGUUCGGUUAUUUCUUCUUUUCCUUCUUCAUUUCCAACCAUCCCUACUGAUAUCUGCACCAUUUCAUGUUAUCAAAAAAAGGAGGCUUUCAGUGGAGAAGUGAUGGAUGGCAGGGCUAAGUGACCAAAGAACUCAGUAGAAAAAAGUUGUAAUUCAUGGCCCCAUACAACUGUAAAAAGGUGAGUCUUCGGGUAAGAAAGUAUAUGGAGUAAGCGUGAAAGAGACAGGAGGGUUUAAAAGAAUCAAAGGAAAUGGCUGACAGGAUAGAGGAGAAUGAGGACCAUACAUGUGUAGGAUAACGGCAGAACAGUUCAGAGAUUAAGAUGGCAUUAAUGUGAUCAUCAGAAAGAUACUUCAAAGUUUUGGCAACACACUCCAACAGCAGUAACUCCAAGGAGCCUUCUGAAAUCAGGAGCCAACAGGUGAGGUUUCCUUUAACUUUAUUCUUGAAUUGCAGUCAAGAUUAACUUGUAUAAGCCCCAUUUUCUGAUGUUUUAGUUUGUUUCCAAAGCGCUGUUCCUUCCAGUUCAUUUUUUCACUUAUCCUCACAAGGUAGCUGUGAUAGCUUCUGAGCAAAUCUCCUGGCACCCAACUCUUAGCUAAUUCCAUUAGAAAACACCGACUUUGUGUGUGAAAGGUGAAAAAAAAUUCUAUUAAAUCGUUGCUAGAUUUUUAGAACUAUAGCUAAAGUUCAGGAAAGGCUUGGGGUUCCAAAGAGUAGAAAGAUAGAGAAAAGAGCAAACGUAUAUAUUCAGUAUAAGCCAACAGAAUUAACCUGGGCAUUAUUUGAGCUUUUGUUCCCUGAAGCCAUGGAUCAAUGGUGCAGAAAUAGACACUCACCUCUGACAAAGAAAAAGCAUGGAUACUGGCAUGGGAGGGCAUGGUUCCUUUUCUUUCAGCCCCAGAUCAAAUUUAAACCUGUGAUUUUGGAGCUUACUCAUCAGAGGAGAAAUAUCAUGAGCUAUUUGCUCUCUCUGCUGUAACACAGCUCUGGCAAGCCUGGAAGUUGUGUUGAGAUCGUCAAAUCUAUAGUCAAGGACCAUCUUUGUGAAUCAUGAAACCAUAUGCCACUGGUUGUCUGAAUUGGAGGAAAAAAACACCCCAAAACAAAAAAACCCAACUCUACACCAACGAAACUAGUGAUGUGCUUAGACAGUGCCAAGGGCCAUUUGACCAUCUUACACCUUCUCAAUCUAUGCAUUUAAAAAAUUUGUUGCUACUGCCUGAACCAUGUAAAAUACCAGAACUCCUGUAGUGCUAACAAGGAAUAAAGAUCUUGCACCAGAUGGUGCCUCUUGUCUCCAUCUAUCUCUAGCCCAAACAAUCUGCCAGAGUUUUGAAGAAAAAUACGAUGUGAUCAUGUUGCAAAGUAUAUGAAGAAACAGUAUGAAAAGUAAUCUGGCUCAAGCAUUGGAAUCCAGAAAGAAGGAGAUUAUUAUGACUGUGAGCCUAUGGAUGAGAGGGUAUUGUUAUCCCUGAAUUUUAGUCCUUAAGACAAAUGGUAUACCUGGGCACAGCUGGAAGGUGAGUAUCUCACCGAGAUGUCUCUUAGCAUCUCUGCAACAUAUUGACAUCAGUGAAUAUAGUCAAAAUUUCAGAAAUUCAUCUGGAUAUUUUUUAUAUAUAACAUAAAAUGAACAGUUUGAUGACUUUUAUAAAAUUGGGUAUAAGGGAUAGUACACAGAAGAACUUCAUUUAACUUUUUUUUCCCUAUAUUUAGCCUUUCAAGGUCUGAAUUUGGUCAUCUUAGUGACAAGAACUUCGGUAUAGUUUUUAUGUCCCUUUUGCAAGAUAUUGUUACAAUUUUCUUUCAUAAGCUUGGAUGGGAUUUUUUUUGGUCAUUUUUCUGCUUCUCUAUAAGCCCUUUGUGGCCACCAUGUUUUCAAGUAUCCUGCACUUCCAAACUUUGAUCAGGGUAUUGGUGCCCCUUUGCCAUAAAAUCCUUGACAAUUUUAUCUAACACUUACAGGAUCCUAACGUGCUUUAUGAUCAGGGGAUAUUUAGUGGGAGAGAAAGAAUCUUUCAGGUAUUUUCUAGAUGCAACUCAUCUGAAUAGACGGUUUAGUUUUAGGUUUACUUUUUGUGCUUGGCCUGGAGUGAUGUAAAUGGUAAGCCUAGAAAAUAAGGAUGAUAUGAUAGAAUUUAGUUCAUUGGUGCCGUCAGCAUGUGGUCUGCACGCUGAUUCUGAUCAGCAAAUGUGUGAAAGGUCUAUGAUGAGGCAAAUACAGAAAUUGAGAGUCAGCAUUUAGAAACUUCUACAGCAAUUUGACAUAGCUGUGGCAUCCAAGCAUGUGAUCACUUUUCCAGAAGUUCAUUUUAUUUUAGUUUACCUAAGUAUCAGUCCAUGAUGGAUUGGAGGAAAUAAAAACCAUGUUCAGUAACCAUGUUCAGACAGUUUAAGAGGCCUCACUCUAGAGUCCAUAACUGCAUCAUGUUAUGUAAGAUGGAUUGAAAUAAAGACAAUGGAUCCACGCCCAAAGAGGACGUUACAGCAAUAAUCUAGCUAUGCGGUUACCAUCCGUCAGGAGCUUUAAUGAUAACUGUGAAAGGAAAAGAACACAACAAUCACUCUGGGAAGGAGUGGGAUGUAGUUCUGAAUUGAAUGGGCUGUGCAAUCAGGAGACAUGUGCAUCCCCAAGCCUGGUAAGCAGCAUGGAUGGCAUUGCUACCAGUUCACAUAAGAGAGCCUCAGUGGAUAAAGAACCCUGCAAACACUAGGAAUUCUGGCUUUUUAGUUUUCAGUUGGUGCUGGCAAAACAUCUAUUUAGAAAUUUGCAAUGAGCCAUGAAAGACUGUGGAUCUCAACUGAAGAGUUCAAUAUUAGAAAUUUAGAACAGAUGGGAAAUUCUCCCUGAUAGUUUUACAAAGAGAAAAGAAGUUCCCUCUUCACGUUUUCUACUAUUUGAGAUGAUAUGGUUUGCAGUUUUUCUUUUCCCUUUCAAGGUAGAUGUAGUCCGUGGAAGCAGAUGAAGGACAUGUACAUGCUCAGAACACUUCUCUUUUUGCAGGGUGUGUUGGCACAUUGCGAGCACUUGAAAAACGCCGGAGCUGGGUUAGCCCAUUGAAACAGUCACAAAGCCUACUUAAUGAUGAUGUAUCUAAAUGAUAUUUUAAGUAAAGCUUUUGUUUGUUUGGUA
Long non-coding RNA from Felis catus (domestic cat), 4676 nucleotides. RefSeq lists it as uncharacterized. The record is from RefSeq and is a predicted model, not a curated record. The transcript has 4 exons. Lineage: Eukaryota; Metazoa; Chordata; Mammalia; Carnivora; Felidae.